RNAcentral lists this ribosomal RNA (253 nucleotides) under uncultured bacterium. Its description in RNAcentral is "partial 16S ribosomal RNA". It matches the Rfam family "Bacterial small subunit ribosomal RNA", at positions 524 to 776 of the family's 1533-position model. The record is from RNAcentral.
UACGUAGGGUGCAAGCGUUGUCCGAAGUUACUGGGCGUAAAGCGCGUGUAGGCGGGUUGCCAAGUCCGCUGUGAAAGCCCGAGGCUCAACCUCGGAGGGUCGGUGGAUACUGGCAGUCUUGGAGGUGCUAGGGGGAGAUGGAAUUACCGGUGUAGCGGUGAAAUGCGUAGAGAUCGGUAGGAACACCAGUGGCGAAGGCGGUCUCCUGGGGCAUUCUUGACGCUGAGACGCGAAAGCUGGGGGAGCGAACGGG